UGAACAUUGACUUUGACAGCUGUCUGUCAAAAAGUUUGCUUUUGCUGUUUUAAUUUUAAAAAUUAAAAUUUAAUAAAACAAAGCUCUAAACAAAAACAAACAAAAAAAAUCAAAGAAUUGUUCCUGUUUUGUCGAUUGUCAUGUUCCUCUAGCUGUGUUAGUUUUAUACCUUAAACAGUGGUUACCUAUGAUGCCCAAGAUGACGAAGAGAGAUCGCUGCCACACAUCUUCCAUGGUUUCCAUUCCAAACUACCACCAGGAAUUCUAAAACAUGGUUUGCCCACUGUGAAGGAAGUUGCAUCAGCCAUAACAACACAACUUGAACACAAAAAAGAACAUGAAGAGAAGAAAGAGAAUGAUCAUCUUGUCGGGGGACUUUGAAAGGCUUGUUCUACACGCUGGACGUGUCAUCGAAAGGGCUCUAUCUAAGAAUGUCGACAUCUACACAGAUUACAUUGGAGGUGUUGGUGAUUAUGAAGAGUCAAACGAUGAGAGGACACAUGCUAGGUUGUCAUUGAAUCGAGCUUUCUACGAAGACCGAUGGUCUAAGAAUCGAUGCAUCACUUCAAUGGAUUAGUCACCACAUUUUCCUGAACUGGUUGUUGCUUUGUAUCACAAUAAUGAGGAGAGUCCCAAUGAACCAGAUGGUGUUGUAAUGGUCCGGAACACAAAAUAUAAAAAAACAAACACCCGAAGAUGUAUUCCAUUGUCAGAGUGCCAACAUGCUUUCCUAAAUUAAAUCAAAAUCUUAUACUCGGUGGAACGUAUUUCGCUCAGAUUGUCCUUUGGGAUAAUCGAGUGCAAAAGCACACCCCCAUCCAGAGGACACCACUAAGUGCAACUGCACAUAUACGCAUCCAGUGUACUGUUUGCAAAUGGUUGGCACACAGAAUGCACACAAUUUGAUAUCGAUCUCAUCCCAGGCAAGCUCUUGAAGUUUGGUUAAGGUAGUUGUUGGAGGAGGAUCAGGAUUAAAUAAAAAUAUUAAACCACCUGAUGUAACUAAAAAAACUUCGCCGGCAAGAGUGCUGUUUUGGGGUGUAAAAUCAAAAUCUAUAACGCAGUUUUUUUCUCAGAUGUGAAUUUUUAUUAAAUUUUUGUU
Molecule: long non-coding RNA, 1102 nt
Organism: Episyrphus balteatus (marmalade hoverfly)
Lineage: Eukaryota; Metazoa; Arthropoda; Insecta; Diptera; Syrphidae
Exons: 3
Source: RefSeq, a predicted model, not a curated record